This 505-nucleotide long non-coding RNA is filed under the name Pogona vitticeps (central bearded dragon). Its description in RNAcentral is "lncRNA (ENSPVIG00000007594.1)". The record is from RNAcentral. Lineage: Eukaryota; Metazoa; Chordata; Lepidosauria; Squamata; Agamidae.
ACUCAAACUAAUGAAAGGGCUGGGCUGGCCUGAAAAGAACUCUGCCAUCAGUUCUUCCCCCCCCCCAUCCAGAAAAUAAAGACGAAGAAACCAACAGAAAGAAGGCAUUGUUUUAUUAUUAUUUAAAUCUUAUUCCACAAGAAACAAUGUUCACUAACAAGAUUUUUUAUUAUUAUUACAACUUGUAUUAAAUAACACUGUGUUAAAUAUAAAAUACUCAUUUAAAAAAACGCAUACGCGACAGAUGGUUUAAAAGACUGGACGUUUUGUUUUUCUGUGCCUUUUUUUAAAAAAAAUCACUCAAGAUUUCAUCACAGACAUUCUUCUGAAGUUACAAAUUCGUGAAAUGUUAGUAGAAAACAACAGGACAAUCAAAAUAAAAAAUAAAAAAUCCUCCAUCAUCUGGAGCAGAAUCUGGAAAAGGAUAAAAAGUAAAGCAUCCUUCUGAAGAGGAUGGAGAAAGGAUGAGCGUCUGUUGGGAGAGUUCUCCAGAACGUUGCAUCUC